CAAACCAACUAACGUGCCUUUUGCGAGAAUUCCGCAAAAUGCUCGCGAGCGAGCUUGUGUACGAGCGAUAUGCUUUUGUGUCGUAAAACGCUCGCAAACGAGCUUGCGAGCGGGAGUUUAAUAAUAGGAAAGAGCGCUGCGACUGUGCUGCCGGUCGAAAGCCAAAAAAAAAGCAAGCUUUCGUGUGCCUUCGGUCCGGCAAUUCUCCUUCGAGUUUGUGUUCACGUCUCGACAGAUGACGUGUCGAAAGAUCAGUGGCAUUAGAAACAAGUGCAAAAAAAGCGUGCGUUCCUUGCGCCGUCAUUUUAAUUAUUUUCGUCGAACUGUGCAGUGCUAAGUUAAAAAUCUCUACCAUCUCUUACACAUUUAAAAGAAAUUUCUGCCAAUCGCAUAUCGGAGAGGCUCGACACGUGCAAAGAGCUACUGGAGAUUUUAAAUUGAAUCAUAGGCAAAAUAUUUCGGAACUCGAACUCCAACAAAAUGAAUUACUUUGCGAAAGUAAUGCAUUCCAGUUUACUGAACAUGCGUGGGACAGACUCCAAAAAGUGUGUAAGAGGACUUCGAACCACUUUAGCACUACGAAAUGCAUUUAAACAGAAGAUUGCGAUCGACAAUCAGGAUUUCGACCAUACAACUCAAAAAUAUUUCCAGUAUGGUCAGGAACGGAAGGCCAGAUUGGAAAAAAGUGAUGCAAAAAAACUUAAAUUUUAGUACAUAGUUCAUACAUAUUACAUACAUACAUUAAAUUCACUUCAUAUUACAAAUUAAAAAUAUUUUUU
This is a long non-coding RNA of Drosophila pseudoobscura, 779 nucleotides long. RefSeq lists it as uncharacterized. The transcript is spliced from 3 exons. The record is from RefSeq and is a predicted model, not a curated record. NCBI's taxonomy places the organism in Eukaryota, Metazoa, Arthropoda, Insecta, Diptera, Drosophilidae.